GCGGACGUAGCCCAACCGGCAGAGGCACCUGCGUCAAAUACAGGGCAGUGAGGGUUCGAUCCCCUCCGUCCGCACCA
Molecule: transfer RNA, 77 nt
Filed under: Myxococcales bacterium
Lineage: Bacteria; Pseudomonadati; Myxococcota; Myxococcia; Myxococcales
Description: tRNA-Leu
Rfam family: tRNA
About the family: Transfer RNA (tRNA) molecules are approximately 80 nucleotides in length.
Source: RNAcentral